AAUUGACGGGGACCCGCACAAGCAGCGGAGCGUGUGGUUUAAUCGUUGCUACACGAAGAACCUUACCUGGGUUUGACAUAUAGGUUGUAGGGAACUGAAAAGGGACCGACCCUUCGGGGAGCCUAUACAGGUGUUGCAUGGCUGUCGUCAGCUCGUGUCGUGAGAUGUUCGGUUAAGUCCGCUAACGAGCGCAACCCUCGUCGUAUGUUAUAUGUGUCAUACGAGACUGCCGGUAAAAGCCGGAGGAAGGUGAGGAUGAUGUCAAGUCAGCAUGACCCUUAUAUCCAGGGCUACACACACGCUACAAUGGUCUGUACAAUGGGUAGCCAAGCCGCGAGGCGGAGCCAAUCCUGAAAGCAGGCCUCAGUUCAGAUUGCAGUCUGCAACUCGACUGCAUGAAGCCGGAGUUGCUAGUAACCGCAGGUCAGCAAUACUGCGGUGAAUACGUUCCCGGGUCUU
RNAcentral lists this ribosomal RNA (459 nucleotides) under uncultured Anaerolineaceae bacterium. RNAcentral's name for it is "bacterial SSU rRNA". It matches the Rfam family "Bacterial small subunit ribosomal RNA", at positions 908 to 1382 of the family's 1533-position model. The record is from RNAcentral. Lineage: Bacteria; Bacillati; Chloroflexota; Anaerolineae; Anaerolineales; Anaerolineaceae.